UACGGAGGAUGCAAGCGUUAUCCGGAUUUAUUGGGUUUAAAGGGUGCGCAGGCGGAGUGGUAAGUCAGUGGUGAAAUCUUCCGGCUCAACCGGGAAACUGCCAUUGAUACUGCCAUUCUAGAGUACAGUUGGGGUGGGCGGAAUGUGUCAUGUAGCGGUGAAAUGCUUAGAUAUGACACAGAACACCGAUCGCGAAGGCAGCUCACCAAGUUGUAACUGACGCUCAUGCACGAAAGCGUGGGGAGCAAACAGG
Molecule: ribosomal RNA, 253 nt
Filed under: uncultured bacterium
Lineage: Bacteria
Description: partial 16S ribosomal RNA
Rfam family: Bacterial small subunit ribosomal RNA
Source: RNAcentral